UCUUUUUUUCAUAUAUUCUAUACUUUUUUGUUAAUAUGACGUUGAAUAUUGUGGUAUUUAAUGUUAAAAAAUUAACAUUUCGGGAUACACGUCACAACAAUAAACCUCCAAUGACCAUGUACAAUGUACAUGAACCUAUAAAUCUCUGAAUUUAUCAAGUUAUAUGCACUCAAAUAGCUAGAAUGGCUUAUUCAAUUAUCAUAAUAAGCAUUUUUGACCAAAUUUGGGAAAUAGAAAUAAGAAAUAUUUUGGAAAUGAUGUUCAAAGCCGUGAUUGUUCAACUUUACUUUUAAAUUAUUUUUACUUGAAUUUUAAAAUACUGAAAUAAGAAGAAUAAAUAUAGUAUGUAGUUUAUUUACAUGGUGAAAGAAGUGAAUCAUUGGAACAAUUCUGUUUCAUAUCAUAUUCCAUAGUUUUGUUUUUUUUUGUUUUCUUUCUUAUUUUUUUUUUUAGUAUUAAAACGACCGAGUAUCGAAAGCAAUGGUAACGAAAUAAGUUGACACCGCGUCUCGUCAAAACAUGUUCAAUUCGAAUUUACUCGGAAUUACACGUUCAACGAGCAUUUGCUGUGAAACCUGAUUAAAGGAAAAUUACUGUAGACACCUAAUAGUGAUUUGUACAGAAGCGAGCCCCGGCAGGAAUGAUGGCCUCUUUUGAAAUGAAGAUUUCAUGCCUUACUCCUACUGGGACUACAACUAACUUUGGACCUGGUCACUCGCAGAUACAGCAUGAAGUGUGCCCUCUUGAUGUACAUGGGGAUGGGAGUGAUACAGAAGGGGGACUAAUUGGAAGAACUGCUGCUGCUGGUGGUGGUGCUGGACUGUCUUGAAUCUGUUGCCUAACCGACUUGAUAUUCUUCUGUUUAAUAUGGGAGCAACACACACACUCUGGCAUAUAUUGCACAGAAAAUCAUGAUCAGAUGGUGCCCUCCCUAUCAGAGUGGUGAUCACUGACCUAUAUUUCUUUGAAAUCCUGGAUCUGUGUUUUGGUUUUACUCUCCAUGGACAGUUGAAACAGAGAAAGAAUUAGGGACCACUCCUUGGCAUAUCUGAAAUAUUUAUGUCAUAUACAUGUAAUUAAAAUAUACAAUUUGAGUUGGAUGAAAAUCUUAUCUUCAUGUUAAAACCCAUUAGCCUAGGUUAUUUUUCCUAAAAUCUAAUUAUAAAUCAAUUAACUUGUUAAUUAAUGCUUGGUGAAUCAAUUAAUAAAUUGUAUUCAAGAACUUGGAAUUAUUUUUUUCCCCACUAAUAAACUGAAAAUGUGUAUCUUCAAAUGUUUUGUUGAUUAAUGUCAGUGUGACAUAUAGAGGGGGUAUGGGGUUUACAACAAUGUAUACAUGGUUAAUUUAUUUCUAUUAUGUAGUCCAUGUAAAUUUCUGUGGAAACGAGGAAGUUAUUUAUAUUCGGUCUUUCCUAUCCCGGGGUAGGAAAGACCGAAUAUAAAUAACCCCCUCGUUUCCACGGAAAUUAAGUCCAUGAGAGCCUGAAAUCUCCCAACCUGGGUCUGUUUAAUGGACCCUUCCAAAGUCCUUUUUUAAGGAAAAAGUAAACCAUUUUCCUAAUCCAAAAAGAAAA
Long non-coding RNA from Ostrea edulis (European flat oyster), 1574 nucleotides. RefSeq lists it as uncharacterized. Lineage: Eukaryota; Metazoa; Mollusca; Bivalvia; Ostreida; Ostreidae. The transcript is spliced from 2 exons. The record is from RefSeq and is a predicted model, not a curated record.